Long non-coding RNA from Pomacea canaliculata, 590 nucleotides. RefSeq lists it as uncharacterized. The record is from RefSeq and is a predicted model, not a curated record. The transcript has 5 exons. NCBI's taxonomy places the organism in Eukaryota, Metazoa, Mollusca, Gastropoda, Architaenioglossa, Ampullariidae.
CACGUAAUGGCGGCUUGUCUAGAGAACGCAACAGACGGAGAACUUGUGCGGGUAUAAAAGAUUGAAUGACCGUGUGAUGACGACCUGUGGACAAAAAAACCGAAAGCAGUGUGAACAUAUCACUCAGUAUUCUGGACAGACGCUGCCUCCGACAAACUUGGUCCUGUACAGGGGAGACCACUGUCAACAAUGUCGUCUGCUCAGGUGAACCACUCUCCUUUACUUCAAUCUUAGAGGACAGCCACCUAAGGGAGGAGGUGGUAGACAAAGUUGUAGAGGCGGUGGCGGGGCUAAAGUUUACCUACACGCUGUGACUGAUGAACAGGCGGCACUACUUACAGAUACAGAGAAAUGUGUAUGCGCAUUGACGACACGCCCCCUGGAAGAAGUAAAGAAAACUACAGGCGCUGAUGUAGAGUUUGGCCCCAAUCCCUCACCUGUAUCAGGCAUGAAGAUUCUUAUCAUCCGAGGUCUUCCUUCUCAAAUCGAGGCGGCAGUCAGGCUCAUCAGCAAGAAGACUGGUUUAAAGGACCCAUUACCAGACCAGGCCCAGACAUUCUGGCUACAGUGGGUGGAGGCCGCGUUCCCUG